RNAcentral lists this ribosomal RNA (310 nucleotides) under uncultured bacterium. Its description in RNAcentral is "bacterial SSU rRNA". It matches the Rfam family "Bacterial small subunit ribosomal RNA", at positions 28 to 335 of the family's 1533-position model. The record is from RNAcentral.
GAUGAACGCUAGCGGCAGGCCUAAUACAUGCAAGCCGAACGGCAAUCCCGCCAGCAAUGGCGGGACUAGAGUGGCGCAAGGGUGCGUAACACGUAUGCAAUCUGCCCACAACAGGAGGACAGGCUCCCCGAAAGGGGAAUUAACCCUCCAUGGGACCACACGAGGGCAUCCGAGAGUGGUUAAACCAAAGGGGUUGUGGAUGGGCAUGCGGUUGAUUAGCUGGUUGGUAGGGAACGGCCUACCAAGGCGAUGAUCAAUAGGGGAACUGAGAGGUUUGUCCCCCACACUGGCACUGAGGAUACGGGCCAGA